UUAGCUACUAUAUAAAAGACAUUGUUUCUACACAAAAAAAGGAAGAAAUCCUAACACCUAGUUUGGAUUGUGGAGAAAAUCAUGUUUACUUCAACUUCCAGUGGCAGCAAACGGUAUCCAGUUGGAAAAUUUGGGAAAAAUUUUAAAACCAACGAAUCGGUGGUAUGUGACCGGCAUGUUACUUUUUUUUCCUUAUACUCCCAUAUAAUAUACUUAAUUUUAUUUUUAUCCUCAUAAAUUAUUAUUUAUUUUAUUAAAUAAAAAAAUUUAAUUUGAUUAUGUGUAAUAAUUAUUUAUUUAAAUAUAAAUGUAAUUAUAUUGGUAAACAAUUUAUUUUUUCCAUUAGAUACUUAUAUACCAUUUACUAUUACAUAAAAUAUUUUUGGGUAAAUUAGUAAUUUAACUGAAAAUACAACCAUACCAUCCUAUCAUUCAAACAAAAAUAUGCCACUAACAUACAUUAAUAUACAAUCAUCCAAACAUAAAUUUUUUUUUUCCAUUCUCAUCCUCUGUC
Molecule: long non-coding RNA, 514 nt
Filed under: Carica papaya (papaya)
Lineage: Eukaryota; Viridiplantae; Streptophyta; Magnoliopsida; Brassicales; Caricaceae
Description: long non-coding RNA (CPAP_LNC001100)
Source: RNAcentral